RNAcentral lists this ribosomal RNA (465 nucleotides) under uncultured bacterium. Its description in RNAcentral is "partial 16S ribosomal RNA". It matches the Rfam family "Bacterial small subunit ribosomal RNA", at positions 28 to 507 of the family's 1533-position model. The record is from RNAcentral.
GACGAACGCUGGCGGCGUGCUUAACACAUGCAGGUCGAACGGUAAGGCUCCAGCUUGCUGGGGUACACGAGUGGCGAACGGGUGAGUAACACGUGGGUGACCUGCCCUGCACUUCGGGAUAAGCCUGGGAAACUGGGUCUAAUACCGGAUAGGACCGCACCGUGAGGGUGUGGUGGAAAGUUUUUUCGGUGUGGGAUGGGCCCGCGGCCUAUCAGCUUGUUGGUGGGGUAAUGGCCUACCAAGGCGGCGACGGGUAGCCGGCCUGAGAGGGUGGACGGCCACAUUGGGACUGAGACACGGCCCAGACUCCUACGGGAGGCAGCAGUGGGGAAUAUUGCACAAUGGGCGGAAGCCUGAUGCAGCGACGCCGCGUGGGGGAUGACGGCCUUCGGGUUGUAAACUCCUUUCACCAUCGACGAAGGGUUUCUGACGGUAGAUGGAGAAGAAGCACCGGCUAACUACGUG